GGUUGAAGGUUGGGUAACACUAACUGGAGGACCGAACCGACUAAUGUUGAAAAAUUAGCGGAUGACUUGUGGCUGGGGGUGAAAGGCCAAUCAAACCGGGAGAUAGCUGGUUCUCCCCGAAAGCUAUUUAGGUAGCGCCUCGUGAAUUCAUCUCCGGGGGUAGAGCACUGUUUCGGCAAGGGGGUCAUCCCGACUUACCAACCCGAUGCAAACUGCGAAUACCGGAGAAUGUUAUCACGGGAGACACACGGCGGGUGCUAACGUCCGUCGUGAAGAGGGAAACAACCCAGACCGCCAGCUAAGGUCCCAAAGUCAUGGUUAAGUGGGAAACGAUGUGGGAAGGCCCAGACAGCCAGGAUGUUGGCUUAGAAGCAGCCAUCAUUUAAAGAAAGCGUAAUAGCUCACUGGUCGAGUCGGCCUGCGCGGAAGAUGUAACGGGGCUAAACCAUGCACCGAAGCUGCGGCAGCGACACUAUGUGUUGUUGGGUAGGGGAGCG
Molecule: ribosomal RNA, 497 nt
Filed under: Escherichia coli
Lineage: Bacteria; Pseudomonadati; Pseudomonadota; Gammaproteobacteria; Enterobacterales; Enterobacteriaceae
Description: partial 23S ribosomal RNA
Rfam family: Bacterial large subunit ribosomal RNA
Source: RNAcentral